RNAcentral lists this ribosomal RNA (965 nucleotides) under Anncaliia azovica. RNAcentral's name for it is "SSU rRNA". It matches the Rfam family "Microsporidia small subunit ribosomal RNA", at positions 1 to 910 of the family's 1311-position model. Lineage: Eukaryota; Fungi; Microsporidia; Tubulinosematidae. The record is from RNAcentral.
ACCAGGUUGAUUCUGCCUGGUAUGUGUGCUAGCGUCAAAGAUUUAGCCAUGCAUGCUUUUCGAACCCUCGUGGGGAGAGGCGGAUAGCUCAGUAAUACAGUUACAACAUAAGCUGCGUGUGUGGAUAACCUUGUUAAGAUAAGGCUAAGACUUAGGGUGUCGCACUUUUGUGAAGAAACGCGACUUGUGCAGCAUUGGUUUCUGACCUAUCAGUUAGUAUGUUCUGUAAGGGAGAACAUAGACUAUGACGGGUAACGGGGGAUGCACGUCUGAUACCGGAGAGGAAGCCUUAGAGACAGCUUUCACGUCCAAGGAUGGCAGCAGGCGCGAAACUUACCCAAUUGUUUUUUGAGACAGAGGUAGUUAUGACGUAUUCUUUAGAGAGAGACCUUGUUAGACAUGGUCCAUAGCGACUGGAGGGCAAGUCUGGUGCCAGCAGCCGCGGUAAUUCCAGCUCCAGUAGUGCAUAUACAUGCUGUAGUUAGAAAGUUUGUAGCCUAUUUAUGGAUUGUUUUAGACAAAAGGACGACUCAAAUUGACCUUUCAUUUGACUAAUGCAUGAAUGUAGAAGCGAUUGAAGGCGAUUGUAUUCACCAGCCAGAGGUAAAAUUUGAUGACCUGGUGAGGACACACGGAGGCGAAAGCGAUUGCCUAGAGCGUAUUCAGUGGUCAAGAACGUAAGCCGGAGGAUCAAAGAUGAUUAGAUACCGUUGUAGUUCCGGCCGUAAAUUAUGCCAACUUGUGCUUCUGCUUCUGCGGAGGCGCAUAGAGAAAUCAAGAGUUUAUGGGCUCUAGGGAUAGUAAUCCGGCAACGGACAAACUUAAAGAAAUUGGCGGAAGGACACCACAAGGAGUGGAUUAUGCGGCUUAAUUUGACUCAACGCGGGACAACUCACCAGAGCCUAUGUGCAGGAGACAGUGAGCUUUGAGAGCGGACUGGAUAGUACUUUGAGUGGUGCAUGGCC